UCUGACAGUGCCCAGUGCCAGCCAAUGGGCUCACGGCUUAGAGACCGGAGGAAGGUGGAGGAGGUCUUGUGUCUUCCUGGGAGCACCGUUCCGUUUGGGCGGUCCUGUCUGGCUGCUGCUGUCGCCUGUGAUGUCAGGCUCUGGUUUGUUCAGCGUCCAACACAGACUCAGAGUGUGACUCGCCGAGGAGCUUCUGGGCCUUUGGUUUGGACUGGUGCUGCCUCCUUGGCCCCUCCUGCCCUGCAGUUUCAGCUCUUUAGGCUGAACAGCCACUGGAUCCUCGGGCUCUCCAGAGUGCAGCGGCCCACAGUGAACUCUCCUCACUGGGGUCCUGUGAGCUACUUAACAGACCCUUUGUGUGGUUAUGCACAUGCAUCCUGUUGAGUCUUUCCUCCAGAAGACCCUAACGAGAAAGCAUACAUAGGAAAACAAGAACACGCCGUGAUGAAGGAGCAUGAAGUAAGCACACUGUGCAGCCACCACUCAGGAAAGCACAGUCAAGAUCGUCAGAAAAGAGCAGAGUAUGCAAAGCUGUCACCGCCAGGAGGACCUGAGGAAGCUCGACCCCGGCCUCAGUUUCCCACAGCUGCCAUACCAAAUCACCACCUCCGGGGUGGCUUGAAACAACAGUUUAUGUCUCAGUUCUGAAGCCCACAACUGUGGAAUGAGGCUUUGGAGGAGCACAUUCCUCUGGAAGUCCUAGCGCAGGCAGCUCCGGUGCUGCACCACAAGAAUGCCUUCUGUGACAGCCUGGCUCCCGUCUCUGCCCCGUGCUCACCCCACUUCUCCCCGGGGCUGUGCCAACACAGGGUGCUCCUCUGUGUGUGCCCAGGUCCCCUCUGCCUCCAGGACAGCAGUAAUCUGAGAUCACGGAGCACCCACUCCAGUUCGGCCUCCUUUAACCAAGCCCAUGCGCAAAGCAAACGUCACAGUCUGAGGUAUGCAGGUUGGAACGUCAACACGGUCUGUGGAGAUCAUCGUUCCUAACAACCAAAGGCAAAGCAAUGGGGAGGAGUAGUCAAGACUGUCUCCUGAUCGGCCACAGGAGGCAUCCUAUUGCUCAAGUCUCCUUCUGUUGCAAAUGGCAAAGGGCUGUAAUAAGAGUCCUUGACUCAAAUCAUUCACUGUCCAUGGUAGAGCUGCUGCAGGCCAUCUGCACCCAGGGGCUCCCGCCAUCUCUGCCCUCAGCUCCCCUGUCAGCUGGAGUCUCCACCGGCCCCGGCAUCCCCAACCCAUGGGCCUGGUGGAGAUGGGAAAGGAAGAGUGCCUCCCUCCUCCUGGUGCCCAGGGGCCAUCGCGGGGUCCUCACCGGCCUCCCUGCUUCAGGCUCCCUCCUCCAGAAUCACUUUCACUCUCUUAACACCUGUACACAGCAGGCGUGUGUCGUGCGCAGCUCUGGUGCUGGGAACACAGCCCUGGAAGACAUCACUCCUCUACAUUUCUUUUUCAGUUCUGGGAAUCGAACUCAGGACCUUGUGGUUGCCUGGCAGGCACGGUGCCACUGAGCUUCAUCCCAGGCCCCUACCCCUCUACAUUCUUGGAGUUGGCUUUUUAGUAGAGAAAGGCAGGCUCUCAGGAAUUCAAGGUGUAACUGUCAGGUGGUGAUAUAUGUCCUGAAGAAAAAGAGGGUGUGGGGCGAUUCAGUUAUCAUGAGGCUGCUCUUCUAUACGCGGUGGCAGGAGCGGCCUCUCUGGUGGGCUAAUAUUUCAGCAAAAACCUGCAGAAAUUAGAAAGUGAGCCCUGUGAAUAUCUGGAGGCAGAGCAAUGUGGAUUUAGGAGACCGCAAAUUUAGGACCCUAAGAUAGGAAACUAGGAAGCCAUUACCUUUAAAGGAUCAAAACCAGAGUGUGGGCAGGGGCGGGCGGGUUGUGGGCUGCCUGCCCUGCACAGCCCUUUGGGCUUGGGCUGGAGGGAGGCAGGGAGCCACGGCAGGAGGUGAGAGGUGAGCAGCACAGCGAGAUGAGAUGAUGGAACCGCAGCUCCGGGCCGCUGCAGACAUUGGGACACAGGGGCGCCAGCGUCCUCAGCAGAGCCCCUCGCUCUGCAAUCGGCCACAGCGGCUGCUGCAGCGUGAGAGGGUGAAGCGCCAACGACGGGACCUGGGCCUGCCUGGGGUGUGAGGGGCUGAGGGAGCAGGGCUUUGGGCGGGCGCUGUCGGGCACCUCUCUGAUCGGCAUCUUCCUAACGUUCCUCUGGGAGCAGAGAGCAGAGGUGGCGAGAAGCAGCAGCCAGGGGACAAGGAUGCGUGGCCCCUCGUGUGCUCUGGUUGGUAAGCGGUCAGCCAGUGGGCCCCAGCAGACCCCACCUACGGAGAUUUCAGUCUCUUCUUAGGGAAGAAGAGAAGGUUGGUGAUCAGACAGGAAGCUACGGAUGCAAACGUCCAGUGUGUUCAGGCUUCCCACCGAGAGGAGUACGCUUCAAGCAGUGUGAUGUGCUCGCCUGAUCCGGGGCGUACUUGGAGGGUAGAGAUCACUGCCUUCACACCACUCUGCCCUCUGCCUGGCUGUCAGCACCCUGCCGACCUCAAGGCCAGGCGCCAGCCAGUUGUUUGCUGUCUGCUUCUCCACUCUCACAGCCCAUCUGCACCCAAGCCCAGAGAAUGGGGACUUCAAUAGCUCCCAGGGUGUCCCUCCCGCCGGCACCUCAGCCCCAACCAUCCCUUUGCUGAAGCUGGCCCGUGCUUUGCACCAGUCCUGUCCCCACCCGACCGGGCCCCUGCACACCCUACUGCACUAGGCUGUCACUCAAGGCAGACGACAGGGGACUGUGUCGCCUCCCUCCUUAGGACCACCCAAACUCCCAGCCCCGACAGGCCAAACUCAGGGCUGCUUGGCACAACCUUCACAUCCUGGGAGUGCUGAGUGCUUAGCUGUGCCUGGAGUACUGGAGGCAUCAGAAGCCAGGGAUGCCAGACAAGACAUGCAUUGUACACAGCCUUGAAUGCCAUGCUAAGGUCUGGGGCUUCAUUGUACAGGCCAGGGAUGGGGAAUCUUCUAGAGAUGAGCACCCAAACUGCAGCCCCAAAACCCACUUAUUUAUCCCAAAGUGCCAGCACUGCAAUUAUACCUGAAUACUGAGGUCUUAGUUUAGAAGAAGCAACUGUUAUCCCAUGCUCAGCUGCUGGAGCAACUUGGCUCACGUGCUGACAGAGAGGGCUCUGCACGCCUGCUGCAGCACAGCUUCGCCACCACUGGUACAGGCAAUGGGCAGCCAUGGAAGGGUACAGAAGAGAGGCUUGAUCUCAGGCCCACAAGUUCCCACACUGCUUGCUUCACAGCCCCUCACAGCUUACGAUCAUUUCAUUGGCUACACACACACCCGUGCACACACACACGCACUCUCACGCACCCACACACACCUUUCGUACCUUUUGAGUCAGGAGAGCAAAGGAGUGGUUCUGUGCUGUUCACAGCUAUUUCUCUACAGCCGACGAGAGCCUCGAACACAGUGGGACUCCACACGAGGUUGCUCGGUGAGUGGCGACUGGAGGAAGGGGGCAGGAUCGCAGGAAGUGAACCAUGCCCCAUCCCGCCCGACUGUGUGAUUACGUGUGCCUUAGUGAGUAACCUGUAGCUCAGGGCAGCAGCAGUAAGUGGACAGCAGACAAGGCCGUGGAAAGUGCACCUGUGCGUGCCAUCAAUGAUUGAAAAACAGACAUUCAGUGCUACUGGGGGGACCGAUGCUGUGACUUAGUACUCAGCUUAGUCUGUAAAUAUGGACUGAAGCAGGCUUUAUUCAGGUAUGCCUUUUAAAAUUCAAACCAAUCCACUUCUUUUACAAUUUGAGAAAACAUCUUCAUGGGUAGUGGGACUUUUUCAAUUAUCAAAAUUUUUAAUAAGUAUGUAUUACCUUAGGAUAUCAGAAAAACAAUAAAAGUUUAAGAACUGGC
Molecule: long non-coding RNA, 3889 nt
Organism: Heterocephalus glaber (naked mole-rat)
Lineage: Eukaryota; Metazoa; Chordata; Mammalia; Rodentia; Bathyergidae
Source: Ensembl